RNAcentral lists this ribosomal RNA (253 nucleotides) under uncultured bacterium. RNAcentral describes it as "partial 16S ribosomal RNA". It matches the Rfam family "Bacterial small subunit ribosomal RNA", at positions 524 to 776 of the family's 1533-position model. The record is from RNAcentral.
UACGUAGGGUGCGAGCGUUAAUCGGAAUUACUGGGCGUAAAGCGUGCGCAGGCGGAUGUUUAAGACAGGUGUGAAAGCCCCGGGCUCAACCUGGGAAUAGCGCUUGUAACUGGACAUCUAGAGUACGUCAGAGGGGGGUGGAAUUCCACGUGUAGCAGUGAAAUGCGUAGAGAUGUGGAGGAACACCGAUGGCGAAGGCAGCCCCCUGGGAUGAUACUGACGCUCAGGCACGAAAGCGUGGGGAGCAAACAGG